Molecule: ribosomal RNA, 207 nt
Filed under: uncultured bacterium
Lineage: Bacteria
Description: partial 16S ribosomal RNA
Rfam family: Bacterial small subunit ribosomal RNA
Source: RNAcentral
UGUGUAGGUGGUGCUCUAAGUUUGGUGUGAAAUCUCCCGGCUCAACCGGGAGGGUGCAUCGAAAACUGGAAUGCUAGAGAGUGGGAGAGGUAAGCGGAAUUCCUGGUGUAGCGGUGAAAUGCGUAGAUAUCAGGAGGAACACCUGUGGUGUAGACAGCUUACUGGACCAUUUCUGACACUGAGACACGAAAGCGUGGGUAGCAAACA